RNAcentral lists this ribosomal RNA (200 nucleotides) under uncultured bacterium. RNAcentral's name for it is "partial 16S ribosomal RNA". It matches the Rfam family "Bacterial small subunit ribosomal RNA", at positions 524 to 723 of the family's 1533-position model. The record is from RNAcentral.
UACGGAGGGUGCGAACGUUGCUCGGAAUCAUUGGGCGUAAAGCACAUGUAGGCGGCCGCGCAAGUUGGAUGUGAAAGCCCAGGGCUCAACCUUGGAAGUGCAUCCAAAACUGCGUAGCUUGAGUUCCGGAGGGGCCCAGAGAAUUCCUGGUGUAGAGGUGAAAUUCGUAGAUAUCAGGAGGAAUACCAGUGGCGAAGGCG